Long non-coding RNA from Anopheles gambiae (African malaria mosquito), 903 nucleotides. RefSeq lists it as uncharacterized. The transcript has 3 exons. Lineage: Eukaryota; Metazoa; Arthropoda; Insecta; Diptera; Culicidae. The record is from RefSeq and is a predicted model, not a curated record.
GAAGUUGCACGAACUCCGACGAUCGGCCCGUUGUUUACGGGCCGUCGCUCCUAUCGCGCUGUCGAACUUCGGCGCACGACUACGGUAGGUAGGUGAUACAGGGCAAGCGGCAGGCCCUGAUAAGGUAGCAAGACAAAAAAAGGGAUUUGAACUAAAUUGUGGGAAGCACACGCACACACACACACACGCACCCAACAACCCCCGAACGAGCGUAACGAUCGUAGAGUAGUCGCUGGUCGGUACAUGAAUGUGCUAACGCGAUCGCGUCUCCUCCGCCGCAAACAUCAACGAUCGCCACCGCCACACAUGAGCCAUCCGGCUAGCGUACAUAAAAUAUCAGUUCAAGUGCGACGACUUUGAACAUUCGUGAUUACAAGCUCGCCCGUGUCGGAUCGCAAGUGAUCGCUGCUAGAAGUCGGAAGAACGAUCCUAGUUUCUGUUUAAAGUUUCUUUUUUUGUGUGUGUGAAUUUUGUGUGGAAAUUGCUUAACGCCAUGGCCAAGCUGGGACUGCUGUUUAUCGUCAUCUUCUGCAUCGUUCAGAUCACCCUUGCCGCCCGUCUACGGCGCGAUGUCGUCGAGGAGGGUGUACAAACGCUGAAGAAAACAAUCUCCGACACAUUCACAAAGGAAAACGUUGAUACCUUCUUCGACAAGCUUUCGCAGUUCGGUGAGAUGUUCAAGGAAAAGGCGGGCGAGCUAGGCGACACCAUCAAAUCGAAGGUGAAUGAGGCGACAAGCUAAACGGUCGGAUCGCUAAGCUGCUUCGAGGUUACCAUCACAGCGCUAAAAAAACUCAACAAACCGAAACAAAAUAAAAUAAAAUAAAACCCUCGUUUUGCUCGUCCCAGUAUACAGAUAUGUAAAUUUCAAUGCAGAACAAAUAUAACAAGUGAUUCAACUUA